Equus asinus (donkey) is the source of this 1704-nucleotide long non-coding RNA. The record is from Ensembl. NCBI's taxonomy places the organism in Eukaryota, Metazoa, Chordata, Mammalia, Perissodactyla, Equidae.
CAUAGCAUAGAGAAUUCCAAGACGAAGUUUGCCAGCAAUAAUCAAAUAAAGCUAUUGCUAGGGGUGCGGAAGGUGGUCAUAGCACUGACAUAGAAUCGUGUUAAACAUGAGGCAGUCAUUCUGACAAAGUUCAAGUAAGUAGUUUCAAUGGUUCCAAUGUUCUGGUUCCUGGGAAUUUCCCUCUUGACAGGUUUGCACACAAGUGACAGCAAUACCGAAACUACAUCGUAUGCAAGUCAGUUUAGACCAACAUCUCUAGAACAGACGGCAAGUGAAGUUCAAGAGGAAUAGGCCCUGAAGUUACCUCUUCUUUUAUCUAGUCCAACACGACAGCCGCUAGCCAUUGAACACUUGAGACAGGGCUAGUCUGAAUUGAGAUGUGCUGCAACUUUAAGAUGUAUACUAGAUUUCAGACUUAGUAGCAAAAAUAUGUAGGCACGUAAGUUGUUACACUUCGAAAUAUUUUGUCUAUUGGGUUAGUAUAUUUUUUUAAUGAGGCCACUAUAACACCUGAAGUUACAUAUGCAGCUUAUACUUGUUUCACAUGUGCCUCUUGGACAGCAGCAUCCUAGAGCCUCCUGUAAGUUCCCUAUAAAGAUAGUGUGCAGAGAACCGUGAUCUAGAAGUUUCCCACAAAUGCUACUUCAGGUAGAAGUUGAGGGUUCUUAGGGAUUAGAAAACUUGAUUUCAAAGAACUAGACAAGAUCAUCGACUUGUUUAGUUUAUACCACAGCCCAUCUCCCCUGGCAGUUCCUAAGACCCAAAGAUGAAAUGGUAUAUUAAAUAUCUUUAGACAACUAUCGCUUGUCGUUUAGUUGACCAUGCCUGAUCUAGCCUCUGAAAAUUCACUCAACUGCUUCCAAAACCUCACCAGCACAGAGCAAAACCAACCUGGGCUUUUCCAAGCUUCCUCCUCAUUUCAGAGCUUAGCCUUGCUUCCACUGGGCCAUCACAUUAGGGAAAGACAGACCACAUUUUGUGGUCACCUACAGGGCUUUCCUGCUACUGAAAGGAAGCUUCAUUCCCCUCACUUCACACUUCCUACUAGGUUCUUAUCAAGCCCCUCUCUAUCACCUACUCUGAAUAAGACUGUGCCGGGGUUAGACACACAAGGUCAUUUUGAUGAAAAGUCUAGGGCAAAGUCGAAAUCCACUCCAGCCUUGUUUCCUAAGUUACUUCAAAGAAAAAAAGCCCAACUUGCAAGUCAGCUCUGAUUUCCAGCCAGCAUGCCCUCACCCCUUCCUGUGGAGAGUUUCGCGUUGCCCUUAUGCCACAGCUGGGUGUUUGUGUUCCUUCUCAAGUUACGCUUUAGGCUCCUGGAGGGCAGGACCCUCACUUCCUUCAGCCACCGGUCUCACGACUAUUGCUGUAGUUUGAGAGGCAGGAGAAAGGUGAACUGUUGGACCUGGAUAACCUCUGGCCACCACAGCUCUCACCCACAGGGUUCUAAAGGAUUGGUUCCCUGGAGGAAAAAAUGCCAGCCAUCCGAGUUCAACAGAAUCAGAUGCCUGAAAGAGCUGUUUGUAAGCAAAUUGCUUUGCAGAUCAAAGGAUUCAGGACCACAGUCAAGGCCAUGCUCCCUGCAACUCCACCUCUAUGCCUCUUAAGACAUCAGACUCGGCAGUACUGAAACAAGCCGUAGACCCUGUGUGUGUUCACUUCUACUCAAGCUCAAACCUGCAACAUAAGAAACAAGAUUAGGCC